RNAcentral lists this ribosomal RNA (273 nucleotides) under uncultured bacterium. RNAcentral's name for it is "partial 16S ribosomal RNA". It matches the Rfam family "Bacterial small subunit ribosomal RNA", at positions 524 to 796 of the family's 1533-position model. The record is from RNAcentral.
UACGGAGGGUGCAAGCGUUACUCGGAAUCACUGGGCGUAAAGCGCGCGCAGGCGGCUUGAUAAGUUGGAUGUGAAAGCCUACGGCUCAACCGUAGAACUGCAUCCAAAACUGUCAAGCUAGAGUCUGGGAGGGGAAGAUGGAAUUAGUUGUGUAGGGGUAAAAUCCGUAGAGAUAACUAGGAAUACCAAAAGCGAAGGCGAUCUUCUGGAACAGUACUGACGCUGAGGCGCGAAAGCGUGGGGAGCAAACAGGAUUAGAAACCCGAGUAGUCC